RNAcentral lists this ribosomal RNA (274 nucleotides) under uncultured bacterium. RNAcentral describes it as "partial 16S ribosomal RNA". It matches the Rfam family "Bacterial small subunit ribosomal RNA", at positions 523 to 796 of the family's 1533-position model. The record is from RNAcentral.
AUACGGAGGGUGCAAGCGUUGUUCGGAAUUAUUGGGCGUAAAGAGCAUGUAGGCGGUCUGUUAAGUCUGGUGUGAAAGCCCGGGGCUCAACCCCGGAAGUGCAUUGGAUACUGGCAGACUUGAGUAUGGGAGAGGAAAGUGGAAUUCCGAGUGUAGGAGUGAAAUCCGUAGAUAUUCGGAGGAACACCAGUGGCGAAGGCGGCUUUCUGGACCAAUACUGACGCUGAGAUGCGAAAGCGUGGGGAGCGAACAGGAUUAGAAACCCUAGUAGUCC